Oncorhynchus masou masou (cherry salmon) is the source of this 496-nucleotide long non-coding RNA. RefSeq lists it as uncharacterized. Lineage: Eukaryota; Metazoa; Chordata; Actinopteri; Salmoniformes; Salmonidae. The record is from RefSeq and is a predicted model, not a curated record. The transcript is spliced from 3 exons.
CAGUAGACUUGUUUCGCUCAGUGGAGCCCCAGUUAGAGACAGAUAUGAUACCUGCAGUGAUUUUCAUGAUCCUAUUCUGGAGCACAGAUCUCCAGGCUCAAAGCGUCAGUCCACCAGCUGAACUCUCAGUCAGACUGGUGGAUGGGACCACUUCCUGUUCUGGGACAGUGGAAGUCUUCUACAGAGGAGAGUGGUUGGGUCUAUGUUUUAGGUGGUGGGACAUGAUGAGAGAGGUUAAGGUUGUGUGUAGACAGCUGGACUGUGGGAAUCCUGUAUCUGUAUCUAGAGGACCUCUGAUUGAAGAUGGAAGAAGAGGAGUCACACUAUAUAGUAGUUGCUAUGGAGAUGAGUCUUCUAUUAGACAGUGUGACAUCAUAGAAGGACCUGGUGGCUGUAAUGGUGAAUAUUAUCGUCAUGUGACCUGUUCAGGUAAGAGACUGGUCACAUUGACAGAUUUAUUUAUACAUUAUACAAUAUUACCAUGUAUUGUGUUUUA